RNAcentral lists this unclassified non-coding RNA (401 nucleotides) under soil metagenome. RNAcentral describes it as "partial contains 5.8S ribosomal RNA, internal transcribed spacer 2, and large subunit ribosomal RNA". The stretch from base 1 to 121 matches the Rfam family "5.8S ribosomal RNA", at positions 35 to 154 of the family's 154-position model. The record is from RNAcentral.
GAUGAAGAACGUAGUGAAAUGCGAUAAGUAAUGUGAAUUGCAGAAUUCAGUGAAUCAUCGAAUCUUUGAACGCACCUUGCGCCCUUUGGCUAUUCCAAAGGGCAUGCCUGUUUGAGUAUCAUGAACACCUCAACUCUCAUGGUCUGCCAUGAUGAGCUUGGACUUUGGAGGUCUGCUGGCCUGUGGUCAGCUCCUCUCAAAUGAAUCAGCUUUCCGGUGUUUGGUGGCAUCAUGGGUGUGAUAAAUAUCUACGCUUGUGGUUUUCCACCAUGUAACCUUCAGUGAUGGGGGUUCGCUGGGGCUCAUAAAUGUCUCUCCUCAGCGAAGACAGCUUUGUGAAUGUUUGAUCUCAAAUCAGGUAGGACUACCCGCUGAACUUAAGCAUAUCAAUAAGCGGAGGA